Molecule: long non-coding RNA, 552 nt
Filed under: Ananas comosus (pineapple)
Lineage: Eukaryota; Viridiplantae; Streptophyta; Magnoliopsida; Poales; Bromeliaceae
Description: long non-coding RNA (ACOM_LNC016412)
Source: RNAcentral
CAUUUUCACCAUAAUUUUUUUUUUCUUACUUUGAAAUCAAAAUAUCUAUAUAUAUAUAUAUAUAUAAAACCUAUAUGAAUUCCCAAUAUUUGUUGUCACGUGACAAAUUCUACUUCACUCUUACUAGCAUGUAACGCUUUUUCUUCUCUUCACCAAAUUUUCAAUAUACAUUUUAACGGUCCCAGUAAUCAAACCAUCAAUUAGUGUAUUUAAUGGUCCACUACCAUUUACAAUUGUAUUGUUUCUGUCUACAAUAAUUCAUUAUGACCAUUUUCUUUCACUCCACUAUAUUUUCAAUUAGUGCAAACGGUUCCACUACCAAACUUUCAUUUAGUAUAUUUAAAUGGUUCCAUUACCAUCUACAAUCCUAACCUCUCUUCUCUAAUUAUUAAUUAUGACCAUUUUUUCUUUCCUCCAUCGGACUUUCAAUUCUACUAGUGUAGAGACCCGCACGAUGCAGCGGGUAGAAAUUGUCAUAGUAAAAAUUUAUAAAUUACCUAAACAAACAAAAAUAGAAUUAUCAUAAUAGAAAUUUGCUACUAAAUAAACAAA